RNAcentral lists this transfer RNA (50 nucleotides) under Justicia longii. Its description in RNAcentral is "partial tRNA-Leu". RNAcentral also lists the same sequence under 1 other name. Lineage: Eukaryota; Viridiplantae; Streptophyta; Magnoliopsida; Lamiales; Acanthaceae. The record is from RNAcentral.
GUUUUUGGGGAUAGAGGGACUUGAACCCUCACGAUUUUGAAAGUCGACGG